GAUGAACGCUGGCGGCGUGCCUAAUACAUGCAAGUCGAGCGAACGGACGAGAAGCUUGCUUUUCUGAUGUUAGCGGCGGACGGGUGAGUAACACGUGGAUAACCUACCUAUAAGACUGGGAUAACUUCGGGAAACCGGAGCUAAUACCGGAUAAUAUUUUGAACCGCAUGGUUCAUAAGUGAAAGACGGUCUUGCUGUCACUUAUAGAUGGAUCCGCGCUGCAUUAGCUAGUUGGUAAGGUAACGGCUUACCAAGGCAACGAUGCAUAGCCGACCUGGGAGGGUGAUCGGCCACACUGGAACUGAAACCCGGUCCAGACUCCUACGGGAGGCAGCAGUAGGGAAUCUUCCGCAAUGGGCGAAAGCCUGACGGAGCAACGCCGCGUGAGUGAUGAAGGUCUUCGGAUCGUAAAACUCUGUUAUUAGGGAAGAACAUAUGUGUAAGUAACUGUGCACAUCUUGACGGUACCUAAUCAGAAAGCCACGGCUAACUACGUG
Molecule: ribosomal RNA, 497 nt
Filed under: uncultured bacterium
Lineage: Bacteria
Description: partial 16S ribosomal RNA
Rfam family: Bacterial small subunit ribosomal RNA
Source: RNAcentral